Non-coding RNA from Cladochytrium replicatum, 73 nucleotides. The record is from the annotation of a GenBank genome assembly. Lineage: Eukaryota; Fungi; Chytridiomycota; Chytridiomycetes; Cladochytriales; Cladochytriaceae.
GCUCUAGUAGUUCAGUUUGUUACAGCAACAGCCUCUACUCACGAGAUCGCAGGUUCGAAACCUGCGUGCAGCA